GCUGGUCAGCGAGGGGUACCACGCACACACACAGCAGGCAAUGGUCCAUGGGCUUGAUGACAAAAUAGUGCUCCUGAAAUCAGAAGAGAUCCAACAGUGAUACCAGAAUUUGGAAAGUCUAGGCAAAAAUUAACCAAAUUCAAGUUAAAGCUGUGAACUACCUUGGGUGUUUCAUAUGGAAAGAAGGGGAGCCACUCCCUUGGGCUAGCUUUCCAAAUACUACUUGGCAGCUUCUGGGAACUAUCUUUCCUCCAAUCCUCAUCCAUUCAUUCGGCAUUUAUCAGACACCUCCUUAUGCCAGCAGGUAUGUAGGUAGUAGUGAUACAGGAGUGAGCAGAUAGUGUGAAAUUAUUGCUUACUGUAUUAGAUGUUGUAUCUUCUGCAGCAUUGGUCUUAGUCCAUUCCUGUUGCUCCAAUAAAACAUGUCACGCCGAGUAAUUUGCAAGCAGAUACUGAUUUCUCACAGUUCUGAAGAUUGGCAACAGUGUAAGGUCCCGGCAGUCAGGAGCUGGCAAAGGCCCGUUCCUCCUACGGGAACUUUCUAUACACUCUUACGUGGCGGGAGGAUGUCGUGGAAAAACACUGUGACCAACAGCAACUUGGGA
This 605-nucleotide small RNA is filed under the name Rattus norvegicus (Norway rat). RNAcentral describes it as "uncharacterized LOC103692323". The record is from RNAcentral. Lineage: Eukaryota; Metazoa; Chordata; Mammalia; Rodentia; Muridae.